This 158-nucleotide ribosomal RNA is filed under the name Callistosporium hesleri. RNAcentral describes it as "5.8S ribosomal RNA". It matches the Rfam family "5.8S ribosomal RNA". From Rfam's summary of the family: 5.8S ribosomal RNA (5.8S rRNA) is a component of the large subunit of the eukaryotic ribosome. It is transcribed by RNA polymerase I as part of the 45S precursor that also contains 18S and 28S rRNA. The record is from RNAcentral. Lineage: Eukaryota; Fungi; Basidiomycota; Agaricomycetes; Agaricales; Callistosporiaceae.
CAACUUUCAACAACGGAUCUCUUGGCUCUCGCAUCGAUGAAGAACGCAGCGAAAUGCGAUAAGUAAUGUGAAUUGCAGAAUUCAGUGAAUCAUCGAAUUUUUGAACGCACCUUGCACUCCUUGGUAUUCCGAGGAGUAUGCCUGUUUGAGUGUCAUGA